CAGUGGGUAGUUUAAUUUAGAAUUCUAGCUUUGGGAGCUAGUGGUGGGAGUUAAAAUCUCUUCCCUCUG
Molecule: transfer RNA, 69 nt
Filed under: Gadus morhua (Atlantic cod)
Lineage: Eukaryota; Metazoa; Chordata; Actinopteri; Gadiformes; Gadidae
Description: tRNA-Pro
Rfam family: tRNA
About the family: Transfer RNA (tRNA) molecules are approximately 80 nucleotides in length. Their secondary structure includes four short double-helical elements and three loops (D, anti-codon, and T loops).
Source: RNAcentral